RNAcentral lists this unclassified non-coding RNA (224 nucleotides) under Hevea brasiliensis (rubber tree). The record is from RNAcentral. Lineage: Eukaryota; Viridiplantae; Streptophyta; Magnoliopsida; Malpighiales; Euphorbiaceae.
GAGAAAAAGUCGCCCCCGCCUGUCGAUGGUCGAUGAGGGAAGUCAUCCUCAAGCCCUAUUUCCGCUUCUAUUUUAGGUAUAACAAGGGGGACAGCAAAAGCAGCCAGCGGCUGCGAUUAGAGAUCACCUUCUCUUUCAUCAAAAACUACGUAAACUGCACUGUGGGAAAGACAGAUUGUCUUCCGGUCGAGGCAUACUAUGCUAAGUGAAUCUCUUAGUGGUUG